GACGAACGCUGGCGGCGUGCCUAAUACAUGCAAGUCGAGCGGACUUUGUUAGUAGCUUGCUACUAAUUUGGUUAGCGGCGGACGGGUGAGUAACACGUAGGCAACCUGCCCCUUAGAUCGGGAUAACAUUCGGAAACGAAUGCUAAGACCGGAUAAACAACUUGAUCGCAUGGUUGAGUUGGGAAACGCGGAGCAAUCUG
RNAcentral lists this ribosomal RNA (200 nucleotides) under uncultured bacterium. RNAcentral's name for it is "partial 16S ribosomal RNA". It matches the Rfam family "Bacterial small subunit ribosomal RNA", at positions 28 to 220 of the family's 1533-position model. The record is from RNAcentral.